CUAAUCUACCAGUGUUAAAAAUUCUAAAAUUGUAUCACCUUGAUAACGUCCUGUUCUGCAAUAAUAGACAUGGCUUCUAAAUUAUCAUAUGAAAACUUGUAAUCUUUGAGUACAACAAUACUGAUUAUUGUUGGAACCGACCAGUAAAC
Non-coding RNA from Caenorhabditis elegans, 149 nucleotides. NCBI's taxonomy places the organism in Eukaryota, Metazoa, Nematoda, Chromadorea, Rhabditida, Rhabditidae. The record is from Ensembl.